This 118-nucleotide ribosomal RNA is filed under the name Pteropus alecto (black flying fox). The record is from RNAcentral. Lineage: Eukaryota; Metazoa; Chordata; Mammalia; Chiroptera; Pteropodidae.
AUCUAUGAGCGUGCCACCCUGAACACGCCCAAUCUUGUCUGAUCUCGGAACUAAGCACGGUCGGGCCUGGUUAGUACUUGGAUGGGAGACCACCUAGGAAGAUCAAGUGCUGUAGGCA